Sinocyclocheilus rhinocerous is the source of this 262-nucleotide long non-coding RNA. RefSeq lists it as uncharacterized. The record is from RefSeq and is a predicted model, not a curated record. The transcript is spliced from 3 exons. NCBI's taxonomy places the organism in Eukaryota, Metazoa, Chordata, Actinopteri, Cypriniformes, Cyprinidae.
GUGAGUUAUGAAACCUGGGUGCAGUCCAGCGUCCGUGAAAAAGGCCCAUGGGUAUCUCCAGGGAUCACUGGCACAAGCGUCGUAAAACCGGAGGGAAAAGAAAGCCCUACCAUAAGAAAAGAAAGUAUGAACUGGGUCGCCCUCCUGCCAACACAAAGAUCGGCCCCUGUCGUAUUCACACAGUGCGCGUGAGGGGAGGCAAUAAGAAAUACCGCGCGCUGAGACUGGACAGCGGGAACUUCGCCUGGGGCUCUGAGGGUGA